UAAUAAUUACUAAAAACAAAGAGAACAUAAUUGUUAGUUAUUAUUGGAUUGGGUAGAAAAAUAGGAUAUCUUUUAUAUGGAUUAAAACACACAACUGAAAUAAGAAAGAGAUUAACCUAUAAAGGCAUCAUAUAAUUUGAUGGUAAAAAUGAACAUCAAGUAGUGAACCAAGUCAAUAAUAGCUGAUACAGAAACAAGCUGUGACGAUUGAUAAAUAGUUGUUUAGCGAUUCAAGUUCAACAUUUAAAACACAUGCGAAAAACUCCAUUCUAUGGGGGAAACAUAUCUUUACAGCCAAUUCUUCAGCCACCAACCCUCCAAUGGCAAGGAUACCGUUAAAUAAAACGAUGCUUAUAUUAGGUAGGCAAACAGUUGGAAUGUUUACGGUUUGAGAACUAAUUGAGAGAUGUGAGAGCUUUCAUGCCUUGUACGCCCUUUAAAAACUUACAACCACGUGACUUGCCUUGGCUGUACAUACGAAAAUGAAUUAUAUUUUUACAUAAGAGAUUUAAAAGAGCGUGUCUUUUUGCAGAUUUUAAAAAGGACAUAAAGAGUAACGUUGUCGCAAAAAAAGUAUUCUACUUUACGCUAUAUUUUGACACAAAGCUCAUAAUUGUGUAUUCAAAGUUUUACCAACAUUACUUAGCACGCGAUUGGACAUAACAAAGAGUAUUCUGAGCAGUGGUUGUUAAGAAGCUUAGCUGCUAAUUUUUAAUGAAAUAAAUACAUAAAAAAAUAGUUGCUUUAAUUACAUAUGGCUUUGUAAUUAAAAAAAAUAU
Hydractinia symbiolongicarpus is the source of this 779-nucleotide long non-coding RNA. RefSeq lists it as uncharacterized. The transcript has 3 exons. The record is from RefSeq and is a predicted model, not a curated record. Lineage: Eukaryota; Metazoa; Cnidaria; Hydrozoa; Anthoathecata; Hydractiniidae.